Molecule: ribosomal RNA, 794 nt
Filed under: uncultured bacterium
Lineage: Bacteria
Description: bacterial SSU rRNA
Rfam family: Bacterial small subunit ribosomal RNA
Source: RNAcentral
AGAGUUUGAUCAUGGCUCAGAGUGAACGCUGGCGGCAUGCCUAACACAUGCAAGUCGAACGGUAACAGGCCCGCAAGGGUGCUGACGAGUGGCGGACGGGUGAGGAAUACAUCGGAAUUUGCCCAGUCGUGGGGGAUAACGUAGGGAAACUUACGCUAAUACCGCAUACGACCUAACGGUGAAAGCGGGGGAUCAGCAAUGACCUCGCGCGGAUGGAUAAGCCGAUGUCGGAUUAGCUAGUUGGCGGGGUAAAGGCCCACCAAGGCGACGAUCCGUAGCUGGUCUGAGAGGAUGAUCAGCCACACUGGGACUGAGACACGGCCCAGACUCCUACGGGAGGCGGCAGUGGGGAAUAUUGGACAAUGGGGGCAACCCUGAUCCAGCAAUGCCGCGUGUGUGAAGAAGGCCUUCGGGUUGUAAAGCACUUUUAUCCGGAACGAAACGCGCAGGGCGAAUACCCUUGCGAACUGACGGUACCGGAGGAAUAAGCACCGGCUAACUUCGUGCCAGCAGCCGCGGUAAUACGAAGGGUGCAAGCGUUACUCGGAAUUACUGGGCGUAAAGCGUGUGCAGGUGGUUUGUUAAGUCUGCUGUGAAAGCCCCGGGCUCAACCUGGGAAUGGCAGUGGAGACUGGCAAGCUAGAGUGCGGUAGAGGAUAGUGGAAUUCCCGGUGUAGCGGUGAAAUGCGUAGAGAUCGGGAGGAACACCAGUGGCGAAGGCGGCUAUCUGGACCAGCACUGACCUCAGACACGAAAGCGUGGGGAGCAAACAGGAUUAGAUACCCUAGUAGUCC